CCUUUACCAGAUGUUGGCUGGGCACGUUAUUAAUAGUUUUUAACGUGUUUACGUUACGGCUUCCAAAAAUCUUAGUGAGUUUUCUCUGCGCCCUCCCUCUUAGCGCCGCCUUUCCAUGCCCACCGUCCGUGACUGUCCCCCUAUCUAGCUUACUCCAAAGAAGCUCCGGAGAGGCCAGGCUGGGCAGAGUGAGAGUGCUUUUACGUUUCUCUGACGCCGGUCUGCGAUUGUCCCCAGCCUUGUCUAAUUUGACUUUACCGGUUCGUCUUGGGCACAGACCGCUCUCUGAGGCUGCACAGCGCCACGGCUGGGCUGUCCUGUGUUUUGCUGUUGAAUUGGAAACCACCUGACUCUGUAUACACACUUGACUGACCUGUUGGACACUUCAGUUUGUCAGGUGCAGCUAUCAUCCUGAUGUGGUACAGCUUAUGGAAGCUUUGUUCAUUGGAAAUUUUGUGUUUGCUACCGGGAGGGGUGAAGAGUCUGGACUUCAGAGACAGAUACCCAAGUUUCAACACCUGACUCUUGUUUAUCUCCAGCUGUGAGACUUAAGGCAAGUUACUUUGCUCUGGUUUUUUCUUUAUAACGAAGAUAAUUAUAAUAUCUAUCCUAUAGGGUUCUGGUGAGAACCAAAUGAACAAAUGAACUUAAGUGUAAAGCACUUAAGACAGUGAUUUGCAUAAGGAGAGUGCUAUGUGUCAUUUAUUAUUUUUUACCUGUGUUCAUUCAUAAUCAUUUGGCCUGAAGUAUCUCCCAUUUCUAACCUCUCAACAAUUUGCCCUUCAAGACUCUACUCAGAUGCUGUCUCCAGUAUUAAGUCUUUCUAAACUUACUCCCUUUAUCCCAGUAGUUUGUUAUUCCACCCCCUUCCUAUUUAUGCCUAUAUGUUAUUAGAUUUGUACUUACAUUAUGCCAUCCAUCAUAUUGUGUUUAUAAAUAGUGUUUUUUUUCCCUCUAGGGGAUACUGUUGCUCCUUGAGCGAAAAAAACAAAAGUCUCACUAUGUGGCAUAAUAUAGAGAGAAGUAUCUGAAUUCCUAGAAACCUAGGUUCAAAUUAAUUGAAGUGUGAAGAAGGCCAGAUUACCUAAUGUCUGCAAGCCUUAGUUUACUCAUCUUUCAAUUAGAUGAAUAAUUGCAACUUUUUAUGGUUUUGUCAAUAUUAUCCAUCAUUGUGAUAUUAGUUCUACCCCCUUGAUAUUUUGACAAAUUUUAUAGCCAUUUCCUUUAUUGUUUGUAUAUAUUAAUUAGCAACCAAGCAUGGGAGUUUAGAGAGGUUGGGCAAAAAGGAAACAGUGAGGAUUUCUUCAAUAAUGAGAAAUAUUAACAUAAUAUAGUUUCCCCCUAAAUAUUUGAAAUCAUACAGUUUCUCUGAGGACAUUUUAUGCAUUUCUUUGAUUAUAUGACAUACCUUUGCUCUUUGCUUAGUUGAACCAUCAGUAAUAUUCUGGGAAUCUUUUCCCACACAUGUUUCCUCAAAGUAAAACUCUUCAUGAACCAAUAUUUCAGAUGAAUAAUUGUGGAUUAUCUUAAAUCCUAGAGGUUUUGAAAUUUCAUGAUUUAAUAGUUUUAGAGGGAUUCUUUUGGGAGUUAAUUUUCUUAAACCCUACUCAAUGCAAUAUUUUUCUUUAUGCCAUUUUCUGUAAAGGCUGUUCUUAGAAAAUCAGUUAAGACUUCUGCUCAGUGCAAUUGUCCAUGAACAUAGCCUCAAACAUUAUCUAUGUUCUUUCAUCAAGUAUCCUUUAGCUGGAGCAAGAGAGAGUUAGUGUAUAAUAUUGCUUGCAUCUUUCAGAUAAGGAAAUUAAAGGAUGAGGAAAUUUAAAGUGGACUGAAGAAAGAAAUAUAUAACAACUUCAUGUCUUUUUGCCUGCUAAUACUCGCUCAGUAGGUGGAAGAUUUUUUUCCUCAGCUUUAUGCUACAUUUUUUCCCAUAAAAUAUUCCCCUCCAUCUCCAUAUAUUAUGGAGAUAAUUCAAUGGUAAACUAUAAAUAAAAAUAAUAUUUUGGGAUAUAUUUUUCUAUUUCAGCUAUUGUUUUCCCACUUUAAAAACUUAAUUUGACAGCUUUGACAACCUGCCUUUAGAAAUAACAAAAUAGAAGAGCAACGCAAAUAAGUAUUGCUGUUGCAUUAGUCAAGGUCCUCCAGAGAAACAGAAUGAAUAGGAUACCUAUACCUAUACCGCUCUCUCUCUCUCUCUUUCUCUGUCUUUAUAAUAAUAUUUAUUAUAGGAGUUAGCUCACAUUAUUUUGGAAGUCAAGAAGUUCCAUGGUCUGCCAUCUGCAAGCUGGAGAACUUAGAAAGCUGGCGAUGCAAUUCAGAACAAGUUCAAAGGCCCAAGGACCAGAGGAGCUGAUGUUUGAGGGCAAGAGAAGGUGGAUGUCAUAGUCAAAGCAAACAGUAUAUUUGCUCUCCCUCUGUCUUUUUAUUCUAUCCACGCCCUUUAAUUUAGACUAACUAGAAAUGACCUAUGAAAUGACAAAUACAUAUAAUCGAUGGUAAUAUAAAGCAUAGUUAUAUACAAUUAACUCCAAAUGAUAUACAGUGAAGUUCUGCUAUUAAUUACUAAUUCGUAUGAGUUGAAAUUAUUGAAAACUUUCAAUCAAGUGUUUGUUUUACCUUUUUCUUUUACAAUUACCAAUCUUAAAUAAAAUAAAAUAAGAUAAAGUAAAAUCUCCAGUCUUUACUUCCAUGAUUUUUUACAGUUCAAUUUCAAAACAAUAUAUUAUCACUUAUCUGUUGCAUUGUUUAAGAUUAAGUUGGCUGUACCUAAAUGACUAACAGAUUCCCCCAAAUAGUGGUUUAAAUAAGAUAGAAAUUCUUUCUCUUUCAUGUAAAAGAAGUCUGGAGUAAGGCAAUUCACUAUUAUCUGGUGACUCUUAUUUUCAUCAGAAAUGCUAGUUUCUAUAUCAUGCUCUUCAUUCUCAGAGUCUGGCUUCCAUGCUGCAGAUUUCCUUGUGGUCUGAGAUGGCUUCUGGGACUCUAGCCUUCACAUCCAUAUCUCAAGCAGCACACAAUUAAAAAACAGAACAUUGCCACGCUGUUAAACUAGGGUUUUAUAAUUAAGGGAGAAUGGAAUAAUGGAUAUUGAAUGGAACCAAAAGGAUUUGUAUCCCUCUACAUAAUCUGCAAAAUGCAGGCUGCUCAUCAAUUAUUAUAACCGAAAGCUUAUUUCUUUUAUUUGUGUUGUGCUGUGGCUUUGAGCAAUGUCUGUGUAUUUUUCACUCAACUGCCUUUGUGUUUUGUCUCUGAAGUGUAGGGAUUUUUAACUGAUUUGCUUUUUGGUAAGAAAAGUAACAUCCUAAUUAAACUGGUGUUGGAAAGAAUCCUUCAUUAUGCAGAAAUGUGGAUACUGUAAUAGUUUCUAUUUGAAGCUUAAAUAUCUUCCUCUGCUGACAUAUUAUUGUAAGCCAUCAAGAAUACUUGAUAAUUGUAAAGACUAUACAGUACUAAUAUUCAGAAAACAAAUACAGGCUAGCCAUGUCAUGUUUUAAAAUGUGACAUUAUAUAUCAUUUACUAUUUGUCAGAUACUUUUUUUAAGUCCUUUGAAAAUUUUGCCUCAUUUGUCUUCCACUCUCAUUCUCUCAAGAGUGUAUAGUGGAGUUUCCCAGAAGCCACAUGACUUGUGAUGCCAUCACUUCUCUGAUGGCUGAAGGAAUGUGUGCUUGUUAUUCCUUCACUUUAAAAAGUUCUGUUUUAAUUUUUUAUGCAGUGGAUAUAAUAUACACAAUCAGCAUCUUUUUGAGGUCCCCUGUAAUAUUUGAAAGUGAAAAAGAGUUCUGACACAAAAAAAUCACUACUAGAACACUUGAAUAAAUUAAAAUUUUGAUUUUCAUAUUCUAUAGUCCAUCCAUCAGUCAAAAUUAAAAAAAAAACAUUUAACUAUGUUCAGAGUAUAUAAUGCUAAGAUGGAAACUAAGAAGUAUGAGGUUAUAGUUCUGUUGAGGUAACCAAAUGUGUGUGUGAGUGUGUGUAUAAGCCAAUGAGCUAUUGGCAUGAUAAUACUAACAAACCACACCAAAACUAGUGGUGUAAAGCAACAUGCACUUACUAUUACACACAGGUCCAUAGAUUGGCUGGCAGUCCUGCUGAUCUUGGUUGGAUUCACUCAUGUACUGCAGUCAGCUGUGGAAUAAUUGCACUGAUGGUACUGGGAAUGCUUCAGAUAAGAUGAGGGGAGAUGCAGCCCUUCUGUACAUGUCUUAUACUAUAAAAGAGUAGUCCAGGUAUGUUCUCAUGUUUAUGGAACAGAUGUACAAGAAUGGAAAGGCUAGGGCAAGCUAGGGAAUAUACUCAAGAAUUUUCUAAAUCUCUGCCUGGUAUCAUGUCUGCUAACCUGGUUUCUGGCCAAAGAAGUCACAUGAGCGAGCUCAGAGUCAGGGACUGACGCACAACACUCCAUCCAUGAUGACAGAGAUAAAAUUGGGAGCAUAAGUACAAACAGUGUGCCACAGUAUAUGUAUACAAGAAGAUAAAGUUUAAAGUUAUAUUCGCACUCCCUGAAGUGCCAGGCCCUGGGGAACAGAGGACACUACACUGCAGGACACUACAUAAAAGCCUUCAUAAGGCUAUUAUCAUUAAGAGUAAGAGAACUAGCUGACUUUCCUAACACAGAAAGCAGAUGGAGAGAUUUAGACAAAAUAAGGAGACAGAGAAAUAUAUCCCAAAUGAAUGAACAGGACCAAACCACAGGAAGAGAUCUAAGUGAGACAGAUAUAAGUAAUAUGCCUGAUAGAGGAUUUAAAGUAAUGAUUAUAAAGAUACUCACUGGAUUUGAGAAAACAAUGGAGGACAUAGUGAAACCCUUAACAAAGAGAUAAGAAAGAACUAAUCAGAAAUUAAAAACACAAUAAAUGAAAUAAAAAAUACACUCGAUGGAAUAAAUAGCAGGCUAAGUGAAAUAGAUGAGUGAAUUAAUUAGCUAUAGACAGGGUAAUGGAAAGUAGCCAAGCUAAGCAAAAAAGGAAAGAAAAUUAUGCAAGUUAAGAAUUGUCUUAGGGAACUCAGUAACUCCAUCAAGUAUAAUAACAUUCA
This is a long non-coding RNA of Felis catus (domestic cat), 5029 nucleotides long. RefSeq lists it as uncharacterized. The transcript has 4 exons. The record is from RefSeq and is a predicted model, not a curated record. NCBI's taxonomy places the organism in Eukaryota, Metazoa, Chordata, Mammalia, Carnivora, Felidae.